GGCUCCAUAGUGUAGUUGUUAGUAUGUCUGCUUUACAUGCAGAAGGUCCUGGGUUCGUGCCCCAGGUGGAGCCA
This 74-nucleotide transfer RNA is filed under the name Pteropus alecto (black flying fox). It matches the Rfam family "tRNA". Rfam says of the family: Transfer RNA (tRNA) molecules are approximately 80 nucleotides in length. Their secondary structure includes four short double-helical elements and three loops (D, anti-codon, and T loops). The record is from Rfam by way of RNAcentral. Lineage: Eukaryota; Metazoa; Chordata; Mammalia; Chiroptera; Pteropodidae.